GGGGGAAAGCCUGAUGCAGCCAUGCCGCGUGUAUGAAGAAGGCCUUCGGGUUGUAAAGUACUUUCAGUUGUGAGGAAGGGUGUGUAGUUAAUAGCUGCGCAUCUUGACGUUAGCAACAGAAGAAGCACCGGCUAACUCCGUGCCAGCAGCCGCGGUAAUACGGAGGGUGCGAGCGUUAAUCGGAAUUACUGGGCGUAAAGCGCAUGCAGGUGGUUCAUUAAGUCAGAUGUGAAAGCCCGGGGCUCAACCUCGGAACUGCAUUUGAAACUGGUGAACUAGAGUGCUGUAGAGGGGGGUAGAAUUUCAGGUGUAGCGGUGAAAUGCGUAGAGAUCUGAAGGAAUACCAGUGGCGAAGGCGGCCCCCUGGACAGACACUGACACUCAGAUGCGAAAGCGUGGGGAGCAAACAGGAUUAGAUACCCUGGUAGUCCACGCCGUAAACGAUGUCUACUUGGAGGUUGUGGCCUUGAGCCGUGGCUUUUCGGAGCUAACGCGUUAAGUAGACCGCCUGGGGAGUACGGUCGCAAGAUUAAAACUCAAAUGAAUUGACGGGGGCUCGCACAAGCGGGGGAGCAUGUGGUUUAAUUCGAUGCAACGCGAAGAACCUUACCUAUCUUGACAUCCAAAGGAAGCCCAGCGGAGACGCAGGUGUGCCUUUCGGGAACUCUGAAACAAGUGCUG
Molecule: ribosomal RNA, 681 nt
Filed under: uncultured bacterium
Lineage: Bacteria
Description: bacterial SSU rRNA
Rfam family: Bacterial small subunit ribosomal RNA
Source: RNAcentral